Non-coding RNA from Vicugna pacos (alpaca), 333 nucleotides. The record is from RefSeq and is a predicted model, not a curated record. NCBI's taxonomy places the organism in Eukaryota, Metazoa, Chordata, Mammalia, Artiodactyla, Camelidae.
UCCCCCACCCACUCCAUCCUCUCCACAGGCACCUUCAUCAACACGGAGGGCAGAGCCCCAGACUGGUCAGUCCCGCACGGUUAGCUGUGUCCGAGCCUGCACCGCGCCGGCGGUGGGUCACUACCCUUUCCUGCAGACCAGAGGGCAGCGCGGCUGCCAGGAAUCGAGUGACCAGCAGACCUCCCAGAUCUGAAUGCCUCCCCAGGGGGCACCUCCUAGGUGUCUAUGAAGUGGGGACACCACAGGCCACCCCAACAGGGAUGCUCUGAAGACUGGCCCACAGGAAGAGUGAGAGCGCAGGAUGCCCCACACGGUGGGUCACGGCAACCUGAG